Molecule: ribosomal RNA, 438 nt
Filed under: uncultured bacterium
Lineage: Bacteria
Description: bacterial SSU rRNA
Rfam family: Bacterial small subunit ribosomal RNA
Source: RNAcentral
AGAGUUUGAUCCUGGCUCAGGAUAAACGCUGGCGGCGUGCCUUAUGCAUGCAAGUCGAACGAUUCUUCGCAAGAAGGAUAGUGGCAGACGGGUGAGUAAUACGUAAGUGACCUAUCCCUGAGUGGGGAAUAACCCCGAGAAAUUGGGGCUAAUACCGCAUGACGCGCUAAGGGUAAUACUUUGGCGUCAAAGCCGCAAGGCGCUUGGGGUUGGGCUUGCGUCCUAUCAGGUAGUUGGUAGGGUAAUGGCCUACCAAGCCGAUGACGGGUAGCUGGUCUGAGAGGAUGUCCAGCCACACUGGGACUGAGAUACGGCCCAGACUCCUACGGGAGGCAGCAGCAAGGAAUUUUGCGCAAUGGGCGAAAGCCUGACGCAGCAACGCCGCGUGGGUGAAGAAGGCCUUCGGGUCGUAAAGCCCUUUUGUUAGGAAGAAGUUUG